UUAUUUCAUAGACAAAGCACGCCAAAUGAUGUCCAGAUCAUUAUCAAUCCACAUGAGAGUUUUAAAAUGUAUGUGUGAAUCCGGUAUUCACCGCUUUGGAGCCUUGCCGCCUAACAAAAUAAAAUUUCAGCGUGUCAUGUUUCUGGAGAGCCACACGCACAAUAUAUAUGCAGAUGAACAGUUAUAGUUCGUAUACCUGGGUUGGCUGGCUUUCCAUUUUUGCUGUUAAGCGUUGGCGGUGGGGCAGUACUUGGCGCUUUAGCUUUAGAUGCUGCACAGAAAUGUGAAAUCACAGGGGAUCAAUAAACUUUAGAGAAUCCGUCGAUUAUUUGGUCAUGUAAAACUUGUACAACUAAAGAAAAGGUGAAGCUUUGGGAGACAGGGAAAGAAAGUUAGUUCAAAAAGGUGCCCGACGUCGACGAUGGUCAUGCAAGUUCGAAUGCUCGAGUACUAACCAGUAGAAGAUGCCUCUUGCUGCACAGGCACAUGUUUCCCUGCACGGCAAUAUCAGUCAAUCAGUCGACGAUGGUGCAUCUAGACCUAAUUAAUCAUGCAUGCAUGUGAUUAAGAUGUUAGAAGGCUGGCAGCUGGCUAGGCUUUUCAAUGUAAAAUAAGGCCAAAUUUGAAGAGGCUAGCUAUGAUGAUAAUAUCCACCAGGAUGAAUACUACCUUUCUUCGCGGCCCCAGAAUUUAUCAGUCCAGGCAGAUCUUUCGUAUGCAUCGCUGCAUGGCAAAUAAAAUGACUUGGUUAAUGAAUGGGACUAUGAUAACUGGAGGUUAAUCAGCUCACCUCUCGCCUGUGAAGCCAUGUUGUUUGGAGUUGGAGAGGCCUUGAUUCGU
This 840-nucleotide long non-coding RNA is filed under the name Triticum aestivum (bread wheat). Its description in RNAcentral is "long non-coding RNA (TAES_LNC014128)". The record is from RNAcentral. Lineage: Eukaryota; Viridiplantae; Streptophyta; Magnoliopsida; Poales; Poaceae.